Molecule: ribosomal RNA, 468 nt
Filed under: uncultured bacterium
Lineage: Bacteria
Description: partial 16S ribosomal RNA
Rfam family: Bacterial small subunit ribosomal RNA
Source: RNAcentral
GACGAACGCUGGCGGCGUGCUUAACACAUGCAAGUCGAACGGAAAGGCCCUGCGCUUGUUGGGUGCUCGAGUGGCGAACGGGUGAGUAACACGUGAGUAACCUGCCCUUGACUUUGGGAUAACUUCAGGAAACUGGGGCUAAUACCGGAUAGGAGCUCCUGCUGCAUGGUGGGGGUUGGAAAGUUUCGGCGGUUGGGGAUGGACUCGCGGCUUAUCAGCUUGUUGGUGGGGUAGUGGCUUACCAAGGCUUUGACGGGUAGCCGGCCUGAGAGGGUGACCGGCCACAUUGGGACUAAGAUACGGCCCAGACUCCUACGGGAGGCAGCAGUGGGGAAUAUUGCACAAUGGGCGGAAGCCUGAUGCAGCAACGCCGCGUGCGGGAUGACGGCCUUCGGGUUGUAAACCGCUUUCGCCUGUGACGAAGCGUGAGUGACGGUAAUGGGUAAAGAAGCACCGGCUAACUACGUG